RNAcentral lists this ribosomal RNA (253 nucleotides) under uncultured bacterium. RNAcentral describes it as "partial 16S ribosomal RNA". It matches the Rfam family "Bacterial small subunit ribosomal RNA", at positions 524 to 776 of the family's 1533-position model. The record is from RNAcentral.
UACGGAGGUGGCAAGCGUUGCUCGGAAUCACUGGGCGUAAAGGGCGCGUAGGCGGGGAGGUAAGUCGGGUGUGAAAUCCCUCGGCCCAACUGAGGAACUGCGCCCGAGACUGCUUUUCUUGAGUCCCGGAGAGGAAGAUGGAAUUCCCGGUGUAGCGGUGAAAUGUGUAGAGAUCGGGAGGAACACCGGUGGCGAAGGCGGUCUUCUGGACGGUGACUGACGCUGAGGCGCGAAAGCGUGGGGAGCAAACGGG